CUAGAAAACUACAUGUCCAGUACUCCAGCCAGUUGCCUGGGUGCUCUGAGUUCUAAUUCUGGAGAGCCUCACAGCCAGCUGAGUCCAGAAGUCCCGCCCAAUAAUAUGGACUUUGGGCUAGCUGGGCAGACUGCAGUUGAGCCAGAUACCUGGAAGGCAGAACUCUUUCCAUUUAUUUAUACCAGAUGAGUCAAUUUGGACUGGAUAGUCAGCCGCAGUGGUUCAGUAACCAAUUUUUGCUGGACCCCUCCUGGAGGAUCCAUCCAUACACACUUCAAACCCCAUCUCUGAGCCUGGAGGUGUUCCUACCAAGCAGCUACCGGGCUUGGCCAGCGCUUUGGCGCCCUCUGGCGGGCAUUACGUCUAAUGACAGCUCAGAGGCCUGCCUCCUGCCUCCUGAACAGACCCCUGGAUGGACUGCACUGGGCUUGUGCACUGGGUAGUUGCUGUAAUACCUCCUCUCAUUCUAAAACUACCAUUUUCCUCUCAUAGUCAGCAAUGGUGCUCACGCCUCCCAAUCCUUCCCCUCUAAGUCAUUGAGCCGAACCCACUCUCAAUCACGUGACCAGAUUUCAAUGAAUCAGCCUCCCCGUCUUCAUUUCUGCCACUUGGGUCGAGGUGAGAUUUUCACCAUCAGGGGUGAAUGAGAGGAGGGGAGAAGCUCAGACGGAAGGAAAAGAAGGAAUCUUACAGAAAACCUUCAAGAGAUGAGUCUCUGGGAUGGAUGAACCUGCUGACCAGAGAAAUGCUGCUUUUGCACCCUCCAUUCACAGCCACCCACCCAGCUGCCCAGAGGCCACACACUGCGCAAGCCUGUUCUGGGAGCGCUGCAAGCCCGGUAUUCCAUCCCACACCCUUUUGUCUCAGAUGCAGCCUCUGCAGAAUCCAAAGCAGUCAGAACGCUUCACGGACUGUCCAAUCAUCUGGACUUCAGGCUACCUGAGCUGUCAGAAAGUGACCCGCAGAUGGGAAGAGCAGGACAAGGUCCUUCCUAUCAGAUGCCAAACAUCAUGGAAGCCUGAUUCUGGACAACCAAAUGCCCAAUACUCAAACCAACCGCAUGUGUUUCAGAAUUCUACCUCUAGAGAAUCAAAAGGCAGUCUGAACCUUUAA
RNAcentral lists this long non-coding RNA (1113 nucleotides) under Sus scrofa (pig). RNAcentral describes it as "lncRNA (ENSSSCG00045011772.1)". The record is from RNAcentral. Lineage: Eukaryota; Metazoa; Chordata; Mammalia; Artiodactyla; Suidae.